RNAcentral lists this non-coding RNA (289 nucleotides) under Marmota monax (woodchuck). The record is from RNAcentral. Lineage: Eukaryota; Metazoa; Chordata; Mammalia; Rodentia; Sciuridae.
UAACCCACAUUUUAGUUGAGGAAAUGCUUCAAGCUGGUCAUUUAGAGCCUACGCUCAACUCUUGGAACACACCUAUGUAUGUAAUUAAGAAAAAAUCUGGUAAGUGGAGAUUAUUACAUGACCUUAAUGCUAUUAAUCUGGUCAUAGAGCCCAUGGGAGUGUUACAAUCUGGGCUUCCUUUUCCUACAGCUAUUCCUUUAGAUUAUUAUUUGAUAGUAGUAGAUCUAAAAGAUUGUUUUUUUUCUCUAUAGCUUCGUGCUCAGAUGACUGUAAAAAAAAUUGCUUUUAG